ACGCUCGACACCUACGGAAGGCAGCAGUGGGGAAUAUUGCACAAUGGGGGAAACCCUGAUGCAGCGACGCCGCGUGAGCGAAGAAGUAUUUCGGUAUGUAAAGCUCUAUCAGCAGGGAAGAAAGUGACGGUACCUGACUAAGAAGCCCCGGCUAACUACGUGCCCGCAGCCGCGGUAAUCUGAGCGGGCUGGCAAGGC
This 198-nucleotide ribosomal RNA is filed under the name uncultured bacterium. RNAcentral describes it as "partial 16S ribosomal RNA". It matches the Rfam family "Bacterial small subunit ribosomal RNA", at positions 326 to 539 of the family's 1533-position model. The record is from RNAcentral.